Aethina tumida (small hive beetle) is the source of this 100-nucleotide long non-coding RNA. RefSeq lists it as uncharacterized. The transcript has 3 exons. The record is from RefSeq and is a predicted model, not a curated record. NCBI's taxonomy places the organism in Eukaryota, Metazoa, Arthropoda, Insecta, Coleoptera, Nitidulidae.
CCACCAUGGAGCUCCGCACAAAAAUAUCAAAAAGUUAGCCAGGAUUGGAAUAAAGUGAGAUGCAGACAUAGAGGUACCCUCAUACUACAUUCAGUAGACA